This 253-nucleotide ribosomal RNA is filed under the name uncultured bacterium. RNAcentral's name for it is "partial 16S ribosomal RNA". It matches the Rfam family "Bacterial small subunit ribosomal RNA", at positions 524 to 776 of the family's 1533-position model. The record is from RNAcentral.
UACGUAGGGACCAAGCGUUGUUCGGAUUUACUGGGCGUAAAGGGCGCGUAGGCGGCAUGACAAGUCACUCGUGAAAUCUCCGGGCUUAACUCGGAACGGCCAAGUGAAACUGUCAAGCUAGAGUGCAGAAGGGGCAAUCGGAAUUCUUGGUGUAGCGGUGAAAUGCGUAGAUAUCGAGAGGAACACCUGCGGCGAAGGCGGGUUGCUGGGCUGAUACUGACGCUGAGGCGCGAAAGCCAGGGGAGCGAACGGG